GGAGGUAGUGACAAUAAAUCACAAUGCGGGACUCCUAGUCUUGCAAUUGGAUUGAGAACAACGUACAACUCUUAUCGAUAAGCCAUUGGAGGGCAAGUCUGGUGCCAGCAGCCGCGGUAAUUCCAGCUCCAAUAGCGUAUAUUAACGUUGUUGCAGUUAAAAAGCUCGUAGUUGAAGUGAGGGAGUGUGUGGGUAUGAGAGCUAGUCUCAAGUACUCACAACCUCCCCCCUCCAAUCGGUGUAGUGGGGUAUUCAGUUAUUUCACUACUCCUUUGGUCGUUUACUGUGAGAAAAUUAGAGUGUUCAAAGCGGGCGUUUGUUUGAAUAGAUUAACAUGGAAUAAUGAUUGAAGGCUUUCGUGUUCGAUUUGAUUGGUUUGUUCAUGGAAGCAAGGUUAAAAGGAACAGUUGGGGGUAUUCAUAUUCACUAGUUAGAGGUGAAAUUCUCGGAUUUAUGGAAGAUGAACAAGUGCGAAAGCA
Molecule: ribosomal RNA, 479 nt
Filed under: Blastocystis sp. H-12
Lineage: Eukaryota; Bigyra; Opalinata; Blastocystidae
Description: bacterial SSU rRNA
Rfam family: Eukaryotic small subunit ribosomal RNA
Source: RNAcentral